Molecule: ribosomal RNA, 468 nt
Filed under: uncultured bacterium
Lineage: Bacteria
Description: partial 16S ribosomal RNA
Rfam family: Bacterial small subunit ribosomal RNA
Source: RNAcentral
GACGAACGCUGGCGGCGUGCUUAACACAUGCAAGUCGAACGGAAAGGCCCUGCUUUUGUGGGGUGCUCGAGUGGCGAACGGGUGAGUAACACGUGAGUAACCUGCCCUUGACUUUGGGAUAACUUCAGGAAACUGGGGCUAAUACCGGAUAGGAGCUCCUGCUGCAUGGUGGGGGUUGGAAAGUUUCGGCGGUUGGGGAUGGACUCGCGGCUUAUCAGCUUGUUGGUGGGGUAGUGGCUUACCAAGGCUUUGACGGGUAGCCGGCCUGAGAGGGUGACCGGCGACAUUGGGCCUGAGAUAGGGCCCAGACUCCUACGGGAGGCAGCAGUGGAGAAUAUUGCACAAUGGGCGGAAGCCUGAUGCAGCAACGCCGCGUGCGGGAUGACGGCCUUCGGGUUGUAAACCGCUUUCGACUGUGACGAAGCGUGAGUGACGGUAAUGGGUAAAGAAGCACCGGCUAACUACGUG